Molecule: unclassified non-coding RNA, 224 nt
Filed under: plant metagenome
Description: partial contains small subunit ribosomal RNA, internal transcribed spacer 1, and 5.8S ribosomal RNA
Source: RNAcentral
UUUCCGUAGGUGAACCUGCGGAAGGAUCAUUAAAGAAUGUUCCGUUUUUCGACAGGUGUUCUAUUCCCAAACCGUGUCUACCUACCUUUGUUGCUUUGGCGGGCCGCCUUCGGGCGUUGGCGUCGGCUAAUUGUGCCCGUCAGAGGACCCAAACUCGUUUCGUUUAGCGAUGUCUGAGUACUAUAAAAUAGUUAAAACUUUCAACAACGGAUCUCUUGGUUCUG